Molecule: ribosomal RNA, 541 nt
Filed under: uncultured Gallionellaceae bacterium
Lineage: Bacteria; Pseudomonadati; Pseudomonadota; Betaproteobacteria; Nitrosomonadales; Gallionellaceae
Description: bacterial SSU rRNA
Rfam family: Bacterial small subunit ribosomal RNA
Source: RNAcentral
AAUGGGGGAUAACGUAGCGAAAGUUACGCUAAUACCGCAUAUGCCCUGAGGGGGAAAGGUGGGGAUCGCAAGACCUAUCGUUUUCGGAGUGGCCGAUAUCAGAUUAGCUAGUUGGUGGGGUAAAGACCCACCAAGGCGACGAUCUGUAGCGGGUCUGAGAGGAUGAUCCGCCACACUGGGACUGAGACACGGCCCAGACUCCUACGGGAGGCAGCAGUGGGGAAUUUUGGACAAUGGGGGCAACCCUGAUCCAGCCAUGCCGCGUGAGUGAAGAAGGCCUUCGGGUUGUAAAGCUCUUUCAGCCGGAAAGAAAUCGCGCAGGCUAAUAUCCUGUGUGGAUGACGGUACCGGAAGAAGAAGCACCGGCUAACUACGUGCCAGCAGCCGCGGUAAUACGUAGGGUGCGAGCGUUAAUCGGAAUUACUGGGCGUAAAGCGUGCGCAGGCGGUUUUGUAAGACAGGCGUGAAAUCCCCGGGCUUAACCUGGGAACUGCGUUUGUGACUGCAAGGCUAGAGUGUGGCAGAGGGGGGUAGAAUUCCG